RNAcentral lists this ribosomal RNA (254 nucleotides) under uncultured bacterium. RNAcentral's name for it is "partial 16S ribosomal RNA". It matches the Rfam family "Bacterial small subunit ribosomal RNA", at positions 524 to 776 of the family's 1533-position model. The record is from RNAcentral.
CACGUAGGGGGCGAGCGUUGUCCGGAUUUAUUGGGCGUAAAGAGCUCGUAGGCGGUUCGGCAAGUCGGGUGUGAAAUUUCGAGGCUCAACCUCGAAACGCCACUCGAUACUGCUGUGACUGGAGUCCGGUAGAGGAGUGCGGAAUUCCUGGUGUAGCGGUGAAAUGCGCAGAUAUCAGGAGGAACACCGAUGGCGAAGGCAGCUCGCUGGAACGGUACUGACGCUGAGGCGCGAAAGCGUGGGGAGCGAACAGG